UCCAAUUCAACCAUCAUAGUGCA
Molecule: non-coding RNA, 23 nt
Filed under: Arabidopsis thaliana (thale cress)
Lineage: Eukaryota; Viridiplantae; Streptophyta; Magnoliopsida; Brassicales; Brassicaceae
Source: RNAcentral